UGCCAAAGUAACGAUUUCUGUGCUGGAAUU
RNAcentral lists this non-coding RNA (30 nucleotides) under Homo sapiens (human). Lineage: Eukaryota; Metazoa; Chordata; Mammalia; Primates; Hominidae. The record is from RNAcentral.